AAAGCAGCGCGUCUUUUUUUUUAUGUCCGUCGGCCCCGACUACUUGAGCGCCUUGCUCAACUGCAAUGGAUGCCUGCAGGAGCGCAUCCUGCGCCGCAUCCUCAUCAUCGAGUACGAAACAGACAGCCUUUUGGCGCUACGAUGCGCCCUUGUACCUCUGCAGACCCCAACUCGCAAAAGAAAACGGCACACGGAGCCUGUCGCCGCUCAGGGGACGUGUUUGAGCUUGGAUGCCGAUACGGCUCGUCAUCGAUGGAGCACAGAACUUUCCAAAGCACUCAACGAUGAGGCGGCGAAGGCGAACUGCACCGCAUCGCUGUGUCCGCAUGCAAAGAAGCGCUGGUAUGCAGUCGCCGAGGCACUUCGUCGCGCCGGACACCCGUCAUUCACCCCAUACGAGCUGGUCACCAAGUACAAGGAGAUGCACAGCGAUCCAAGACCCUUUUCACCCAGUGAGGCUUGUUUCGUGUGCCAGUAUGUCCGAGAAAACGGACGUGACUGGCAGGGGCUGUGUCAAGCACUGCGUCAGCGUCUGGGACAUGUACGCACACCUUUUCAAGUAGCCCAGCAAUACCGCCAGAGGUUGCGGUGCGCUUUUGUCGAGAAUCGCCUCACCUCAUCUCAGCUCCUCACCCUGCUCGCAGACCUGCCCGCCUCCCCGCACCGUCGCGACUUUGCCGCGCUGUCGGUGGAGGCGCAGCGGUUCACCUCGCACAAGACACUCCAGGUAAGCCCGCUUUACUUGAAGAGGGAGCUGGAGACCCUUGACUUUGCUGCCCGGGUACCGACGUGCCACCAGCUCUACUGGAAGCUGGUGAACCUUCUGUGCAACUUCUCCCUCUCGCAUCCCAACCGCCUCGAUGCGUUUCAGCACAGGAUGCCAUUCUGCUACCAGCAGCUUUCCCUAGCCGACCUCGCGCGCUCUCUCCAAUGCGAGGCAGUGGAGCUGCAGGAGAGAGUCGUCCACGCACUCCUGCGUCUCAGUCGUCCACCAGAGGCACUCAACUACGAGGAAUGCUCCAAGAAGCUCUUCGGGACGGUGUGCGGUGCACGGCUGAUCUACCAAAUCUCCGAGAAGUUGCACGAAAAAGACACUUGAGCUGCCCGUCACAUCUCACACACAUUAUCUCCUGUUGCACGGCCCUGUGGUCAUGUUGGAGGGCAAAUGACGCAGCUUCGCGGAUUUGUUUUGCAUAGCCCUCAUUGCCUUGUUCCAGCACACCAGUAGCAACCUCGAUGGGUACCUGCUGUCGUCUGCCCUUGCGGGCACACGAAAGAGCAGCGACCCGUUGACAAACUGCGCAAAGGCAAAACAAAAAGAGAAUAUACUAACAGGCUACGGCGGUAAAAGGGCCCGAAAGGAAACGACAUCUUGGCGGCAUCCAUUGCCACAUCGCUACACGGCGCUGCGCGUGACACCGUCAUACACAAUCUAUUGCGCAGGCCUCCCCACUUCUCUGUCGCCCGCCGUCCUCUUCAACCCUUGCCGUACCUUACUUCUCUCUCGAUACUCUCGGUGAACUUGGAAAGCACUCACGAGUCGCGUUUUUUUGUGCGCGUGUGUGCGUUCGCCCUCCCCCCUCCUCCACCACCCCAACCCUAUCUCUCGUCGUCUACCUCUCUCGCACUCCGUUCGUAUAACUCUCCCUCCUCUGUGCAG
Molecule: unclassified non-coding RNA, 1660 nt
Filed under: Leishmania donovani
Lineage: Eukaryota; Euglenozoa; Kinetoplastea; Trypanosomatida; Trypanosomatidae
Description: gene:LdHU3.34.6610(CDS-product:hypothetical_prote in_conserved)
Source: RNAcentral